UUUCUUGGCGCUUAAUACAAGCGCCAGGAAAGCUUUUUCCUGCAGCUUGUCCUACAAAUGUCAGGAAAAUUGCUUUAAUGGCACCUGAUUGCCGGCAUUUAUUAAACGCUAGGAAAACUUUUCUGGCGUUUAAAUGAUGUUUCCUGGCGUUUAAAAAACGCCUGGAAGAUCCGUUUUUUUUGUAGUGCAGAUCUGCUUGCCCAUCUUUGGGACUCCAUUGAAGCAGCACACCAAGUCACCAGUUGCGGAUACAAAUAUAGUACUAGCUGGGGUAUAGAGGUUAGUAACCAAAAAAUAUGGAAAACCCAAAUUGAGAGCUCAUAUUAACAUAUUUUUUGUGGCUCCAUUAUAUGUCACAAAGCAUUUAAAAGUUGUUGGAAGGUUUCUUUAAUGAAAAAUGCCAUAUACCAUACACUAAUAUCUCAUAAAUAUUUUAGGGUCUCAUAACUCAUGAAUCAACUCUUGUUAAAGAAAAUAAAAAUCAAUGAUUAUACUCCUUGUCACGACAGCAUAGUGAUAUACUUGUUAAAUAUUGAUGUGAUAUGUAUAACAUUACUCUUCUUUAAUUUUUGGGUAAGGCUUCUUUAAAUAGAGAGAACAUCAUAUCAUUUGUUGAUUGAACAAGAGUUUUUUUCAAUUUUAUAUACCACACUAAUAUUCAUAAAUAUCUUACUAUGCUAACAUGGCAGGGUGUAAUAGCUCAUGGAUUAGCCCUUGUUAAAAAAAUGAGUAAUGCUUGUUAUCCAUUUUUUUUUCAUCUUUACAUAUGUAGACAAAGAUGAGCCCUACAAAUGCAAAAUAAAGCUCUUUAAAAAAAAAAAAAUCACAUAUACAAAGAUGGAGGAAAAGAUGGACAACAAGCAUUACUCUAAAAAAAUAUAUACAUAUUCAAUGAUUUCUAUGUCCUGUCACGUCAAUAUAAUGAAAUAUUUAUGAAAUGAUGUGAUAUAUAGCAUUACUAUUCUUUAAUUUUUUUGGGUAAGGCUUCUUUAAAUAGAGAGAGCAUCAUAUCCAUAAAAUGAUUCUCCUGUAUGUGACAUAAAGUUGAAAACAAAGUUAAUGGAAAAAGGAUACAUUUAUAUCAUCCUUGUUGUUGAUCAUCAUUGUAUGUUAAAUACAAAAGUUGGUUCUUGUACAUCUUUAGUCAAACAAUGAGGUAAUGCUUAUAAAUCAAAAUAUUCCAAUAGAAACAAUUUGUUAAUGUUUUUUUCAUUCUAGUUUUUGUUUUCUAUUUUUAAAACGAAUAAUUAUAUAUGUUAACCCUUAUGUUUACUCUGUGUCUAUCAAAAUUGAUGUGCCUUCAUCCCUAUUUCACAUAGCGUUCCUUCGUAAUCUCUAAUCGCAAUUUAUGAUAUUUUUUGUCUUUAUAAUGGUACCCUUUGCUUUUACAUAUAUAUAUGGACAUGUUUUGUUUCCCUUGAUCUUUUCAUCUCGAUUGAAAUAAGAUUAUGAUAAACAUCAUUAUUAUCAUCAUAAUUAUUAUAAUUUUUUCUGUCUUUGGGUAUGCUCUCAUGUUUGUGGUCAUCCCAUUUCAGUUGGGCUGGAGAUAUGGAUCGAUGACAGAGGACCUGCUAACUAAGUUAACAAUCCAUAAAAGGUGUUGGAAGUCCAUCUAUUGCACGCCCGAUCCACUAGCCUUUUUAGGGUCUGCACCCUCGGGUGGGCCUGCUGCAAUGACCCAACAAAAGAGGUGAGUCACUAGCAUGCUUGAAAUUCUAUUCAGCAAAAAUUGUCCAAUAUUUGGCAAUUGGCACCCUCUUUGAGAAGCUCCAAUUCAGGCAAUGUUUAGCCUAUUUGUGGCUCCUCUCGUGGGGCAUACACUGUCCCCAAGCUAUGCUAUGCUACUCUUCCAGUCUAUUGAAUCAUCACCAACUCUCACUUAUUGCCCAAGGUGAGGACAAACCACAACCAUUCAAACCUUUAACAUUCUAUCUAUAUUUAUGUGACUCAAACUCUCUAUCAUAUAAUAUUUGUACAUGUUUUCUAAAGAAUUGUAAAGGGGUAAUUAUAAAUAUAAGUCUGGGCUGAAUGAACAGUCAUUCAGCCCAGACACAUGAACAGUGACUUUGUGGGCCUGUGAACAGUAAUUUUUUUUUUUUUUUUAUACCCUCAUUCCUGCCCAAGCUGAAUGACUGUUCAUUCAGCCUGGGCUUAUGCCAAUCAUGACUCAUUGUAAAGUAUACCCUUGUAUAGGGAUAAAUACUUUUAUAAUGAGAAUUAAAUAAUAACAAAAUGGAGAAAUAAAGCACAACAUAAUGAGGAGUAAAAUCACAAAUUAAAGUGGGAAUAAUUAGUGGGAUAUAAUAUUUUGUAACAGAAAAUUUAUGAAAAUAAUCAUUUCUUUAUUAAUUUUCUUAAAUCACCACUUAUCCUAAAAGCUUAAGCUAAUAGAAAAUAAUUGGUUUAAUCAUUUAAAUGAUAUUAUAACAAAUUUCUAUUAAAUACACCAAGUUAUGAUAGUAAUAGCAUGCUUUUAUUAUUAAGUGUACUUCUUUUUUUUUUGGGCGGGGGUAGUCACUUAUUAAUUAGUAAAUAGGAUCUAUUUCAUGGUCUAUAUGACAUUUUACAGUAUCCUAAUAGUGUAUACGGUGUCAUAUCAUUUUUUAAAAAAAAUUAAAUGAAGUGAAAAUGUAAGCAACAUAUACACUGUUUAAUGUGUGAAAUCUAAUCUGCACCAUGAAAUGGUUCCCCUUUAUUUAAAGUGAAAUUGAGAGCCUACCCCUUUUUUUACACUGUUGUUUUCGUGUUAGGUCUGUUGUUAGAGAGUCCAUCCAUUUUUCGGUUCUUUGUUGUUUUUGUUCAGGAUCUCUCACUCUUUCUUUCUUUCUUUCGGAUCAAAAGUGGUAAAGAUCCUUCCAUGUAACAUUUUCCCAAAUUCAAUUAUAAAAAAUAAAAAAUAAAAAAAUAAAAAAAGUGAAAUUAAGAGGAUCGUGCUCCCUAAGGCAAUAAAACCUUCAUUUGCUAGCUAUAUAUUCUAUUUAAGAAGGAAAUGCAAAUCAACCUAAGUUUUAGGUCCAGUCAACUAAUAACAUGACAAAAAAGGUAACUUGUGUAACUGAAAGCAUGCAUGUCUUUAUUUAUUUUUUCUAUUCAUGCCCAUAUAUAUGAUCGAGUUCUACCACACCAAAAUUAAUCCUGUUGCAUUUUACAAUCUCAAUUCUCAGUAGUAAAUUUUUGUCAUUUUGGAUAAUAUUAGUAGAAUCUGCAUCCAUGGUGAAGCACAUGAACAAUAACAUAUUCAAAAUCUUUUUCAUAGAUAUUAUUCUUUUUAAGAGCUUAUAAUAUGUGUUUGUAGGUUCAAGAACUAACAUUCUAUGUGCUAGUUGCUCUCUUUGUCAUUUACAACCUAUACACUUUAUCUAAGUACCUACAAACUCGCCAAUCUGUCCGAGCUUGGUGGAACAAUCAGAGAAUGGCAAGAAUUACCACCAUGAAUGCAUGGUUCUUUAGAUUUCUAAGUGUCAUGCUCAAGCUCUUAGGAAUAUCAGAGACAGUCUUUAAAGUGACAAAAAAAUACCAAUCUA
This 3524-nucleotide non-coding RNA is filed under the name Betula luminifera. The record is from RNAcentral. Lineage: Eukaryota; Viridiplantae; Streptophyta; Magnoliopsida; Fagales; Betulaceae.